Molecule: ribosomal RNA, 1985 nt
Filed under: termite gut metagenome
Description: bacterial LSU rRNA
Rfam family: Bacterial large subunit ribosomal RNA
Source: RNAcentral
AAAAGUAAGAAAGGGCACAUGGAGGAUGCCUAGGCUCUCGAAGGCGAAGAAGGACGUGAUAAGCUGCGAAAAUCUACGGAGAGGUGCAAAUAACCCGUGACCCGUAGGUAUCCGAAUGGGGCAACCCGGCGGCGAGUAGCCGUCACACUAUGAAAAUAGUGGGCAAACGCAGGGAACUGAAACAUCUAAGUACCUGCAGGAAAAGAAAACAAAAGUGAUUCCGCCAGUAGUGGCGAGCGAACGCGGAAAAGCCCAAACCGGUGAUGUUUAGGCAUCAUCGGGGUAGAAGGACUGAGACAAAGGGACGAAAGGCAGGAAGCCGAAUGGUCUGGAAAGGCCAAUCGAAGAAGGUGAAAAUCCUGUAAGCGAAUCCAGCCUGAACCCGAUCAGCAUCCUGAGUAGUCCGGGACACGAGAAAUCCUGGAUGAAUCGGCGGGGACCAUCCCGUAAGGCUAAAUACGAUCGAGAGACCGAUAGCGAACCAGUACCGUGAGGGAAAGGUGAAAAGAACCUCGCACAGAGGAGUGAAAAAGACCCUGAAACCAUGUGCCUACAAGCGGUCGGAGCUAGGAAUAGUGACGGCGUGCCUUUUGCAUAAUGAACCUACGAGUUACUGUCAAUGGCAAGGUUAAGUAAUAAGAAUUACGGAGCCGAAGCGAAAGCGAGUCUUCACAGGGCGGAAUAGUCAGUGGCAGUAGACGCGAAACCAAGUGAUCUACCCUUGAGCAGGCUGAAGGUUGGGUAACACCAAUUGGAGGGCCGCACCGGUAAGCGUUGAAAAGCUUUCGGAUGACUUGAGGGUAGGGGUGAAAGGCUAAUCAAACUUGGAGAUAGCUCGUACUCCCCGAAAUGCAUUUAGGUGCAGCCUCGGGGUCGUCUUAUAUCAGGUAGAGCGACUGAUUGGAUGCGAGGGUUUCACCGCCUAUCAAGUCCAGAUAAACUCCGAAUGGGUAUAAGACAUAACCGGGAGUGAGGGCAUGGGUGCUAAGGUCCAUGUCCGAAAGGGCAACAACCCAGAUCACCAGCUAAGGUCCCGAAAUGUAUGUUAAGUUGAAUUAACGAAGUGUUGUCGCAAGGACAGCUAGGAUGUUGGCUUGGAAGCAGCCAUUCAUUUAAAGAGUGCGUAACAGCUCACUAGUCGAGUGGCGAUGCGUGGAUAAUAAUCGGGCAUAAAACAUACUACCGAAGCUGUGGGAUAAAAAAAUAUCGGUAGGGGAGCAUUCCGGAGGCGUAGAAGGCAUGGUUCGAGCCGUGCUGGAGCGUUCGGAAAAGCAAAUGUAGGUAUAAGUAACGAUAAAGGGGGCGGGAACCCCCCUCGCCGAAAGACUAAGGAUUCCUGAUCAACGCUAAUCGGAUCAGGGUAAGUCGGGACCUAAGGUAACGCCGAGCGGCAAGACCGAUGGAAGAACCGGUAAAGAUUCCGGUACUGGAUUAAAGAGUGAAGUGGGGACGCAGGAGUGACACUGCAGCCAUCUGACGGAAUAGGUGGUUAAAGGGUGUAUGUGUAGACAGCUGUAGGCAAAUCCGCAGUUGGAGCAGAACCCGAAAGUAUGGGGAUCCCAUGGAGAACCAAUAAGCAGGUAACCAGACUGCCAAGAAAAACCGCUAAACGCAUCUUUAAUUCACCCGUACCACAAACGGACACACGUAGUCGGGUAGAACAUACUCAGGCGCUCGAGCGAUUCACAGUUAAGGAAUUAGGCAAAAUGACCCUGUAACUUCGGGAUAAAGGGUGCCUGUCAGUGAUGGCAGGCCGCAGAGAAUAGGUCCAGGCAACUGUUUAACAAAAACACAAGGCUGUGCGAAUUAGCAAUAAGAAGUAUACAGUCUGACACCUGCCCGGUGCUGGAAGGUUAAGAGGAGAAGUCAUCGGCAACGAGAAGCUUAGAAUUGAAGCCCCAGUAAACGGCGGCCGUAACUAUAACGGUCCUAAGGUAGCGAAAUUCCUUGUCGGGUAAGUUCCGACCUGCACGAAUGGUGUAAUG